Molecule: non-coding RNA, 84 nt
Organism: Caenorhabditis brenneri
Lineage: Eukaryota; Metazoa; Nematoda; Chromadorea; Rhabditida; Rhabditidae
Source: Rfam
GCCAGGGUAGCCAAGUGGCAAAGGCGCGGGCCUUCUGAGCCUGUGGAUGUAAAUCCUUUAGGGGUUCGAUUCCCCUCUCUGGCA